This 209-nucleotide unclassified non-coding RNA is filed under the name soil metagenome. RNAcentral describes it as "partial contains 5.8S ribosomal RNA, internal transcribed spacer 2, and large subunit ribosomal RNA". The record is from RNAcentral.
AACCAUUCUCACCUGCGGCUAGACCUGCGGAGGGAUCAUUACCGAGUUUACAACUCCCAAACCCCUGUGAACAUACCUAUACGUUGCCUCGGCGGAUCAGCCCGCGCCCUGUAAAAAGGGACGGCCCGCCCGAGGACCCCUAAACUCUGUUUUUAGUGGAACUUCUGAGUAAAACAAACAAAUAAAUCAAAACUUUUAACAAUGGAUCU